This 404-nucleotide small RNA is filed under the name uncultured fungus. RNAcentral describes it as "eukaryotic LSU rRNA". The stretch from base 1 to 85 matches the Rfam family "5.8S ribosomal RNA", at positions 71 to 154 of the family's 154-position model. Lineage: Eukaryota; Fungi. The record is from RNAcentral.
AUAGCAGAAUAUCAGUGAAUCAUCGAAUCUUUGAACGCACCUUGCGCUCCUUGGUAUUCCGAGGAGCAUGCCUGUUUGAGUGUCAUGAAAUUCUCAACCUCUCUGGCUUUUAUAAAGCUAGUCAGGCUUGGAUUGUGGAAGUUGCUGGCUUCAUGGAAAUCAGCUCUUCUUAAAUGCAUUAGCAAAAUUCUUGCUGACCAUCUUUGGUAUGAUAAUUAUCUAUACCAUUGAGAGUCGGUGGUUCAGGCUCCGCUUGGGAUAAUAUUUUAUAUCCAAGUGUUCGUUCAACCUCUUUGAAGCACCAGCUUUGGCACAGAUGUUAACUCAUCUGAAUGGUGUUAACUACUUCAGGUAGACGAAGCGAGGCGUUCUUAGGAGCGCUCACGAGAGCAAGCAGCGUCAGA